This 77-nucleotide transfer RNA is filed under the name Trueperaceae bacterium. RNAcentral's name for it is "tRNA-Pro". It matches the Rfam family "tRNA". Rfam says of the family: Transfer RNA (tRNA) molecules are approximately 80 nucleotides in length. Their secondary structure includes four short double-helical elements and three loops (D, anti-codon, and T loops). The record is from RNAcentral. Lineage: Bacteria; Thermotogati; Deinococcota; Deinococci; Trueperales; Trueperaceae.
CGGGGUGUAGCGCAGCCUGGUAGCGCACUUUCUUGGGGUGGAAGAGGUCGCCGGUUCAAAUCCAGUCACCCCGACCA